GACGAACGCUGGCGGCGUGCCUAAUACAUGCAAGUAGAACGCACAGUUUAUACCGUAGCUUGCUACACCAUAGACUGUGAGUUGCGAACGGGUGAGUAACGCGUAGGUAACCUGCCUGGUAGCGGGGGAUAACUAUUGGAAACGAUAGCUAAUACCGCAUAAUAUUAAUUAUUGCAUGAUAAUUAAUUGAAUGGUGCAAUUGCACCACUACCAGAUGGACCUGCGUUGUAUUAGCUAGUAGGUGAGGUAACGGCUCACCUAGGCGACGAUACAUAGCCGACCUGAGAGGGGGAUCGGCCACACUGGGACUGGGACACGGCCCAGACUCCUACGGGAGGCAGCAGUAGGGAAUCUUCGGCAAUGGACGGAAGUCUUACCGAGCAACGCCGCGUGAGUGAAGAAGGUUUUCGGAUCGUAAAGCUCUGUUGUAAGGGAAGAACGAGUGGGGGAGUGGAAAGUGCACGCUGUGACGGUAUCUUACCAGAAAGGGACGGCUAACUACGUG
RNAcentral lists this ribosomal RNA (505 nucleotides) under uncultured bacterium. RNAcentral describes it as "partial 16S ribosomal RNA". It matches the Rfam family "Bacterial small subunit ribosomal RNA", at positions 28 to 507 of the family's 1533-position model. The record is from RNAcentral.